Molecule: long non-coding RNA, 840 nt
Organism: Hydra vulgaris (swiftwater hydra)
Lineage: Eukaryota; Metazoa; Cnidaria; Hydrozoa; Anthoathecata; Hydridae
Source: RefSeq, a predicted model, not a curated record
UUUUUUGAACGUUAGAAAUACACUCAAAAAAUAUAAAGCACUUGUUACGUUGACAAAAUCAUACUAAUUCAAAAUGUAAGAACUCUGCUAAUUUAUAAAUCACCUUAGCUGCACCUUGGAGUAACCAAGUUUAUUAAUUCCCUACACUUAGGAAUAACUUAAAAAACUACACUUAGGAAUAACUUAAAAAACUACACUUAGGAAUAACUAAAACUGGUGUCAGUCUAAAAAUAGUUUUAAAAUUAUAAAAAAAAUAACAUGUCUUUAGAAAAUUUUCUGUACUUUACUAAUACUUUCUGAACUUUAAUGUAUAAUAUUAACCUAUUGAUAUAUAAAAAAAUCUAUUAUUUGAUUUUAUUCCAUUUUCUAAUUUUAUCAGGUCUUAUCUCUGUCUUCUGCUGGGGGUAAAGAUGUUAAAGAUGUUGUCAAGACCAUUAUGGAAAGAUUUGUAUUGUCUUACAACUUUUGAAUUUCUCGUGUUGUUUUUAGUCCUCAAUAGUCUUUAUAGUGAAAAUGUCGCUACGUACGAUGAAACACAUCGUUCAAUUUUCGAGGAACUAAUCGCCUCGAAAAUAAUAAAGAGUCAAGACCUAAGAAAGAAGCUUAUAAAUAUCUUAUUAUAUGCAAAGCUGUGUGCUGCGCAGUAAUGAAGGAUAAAAAAUUUAACAAAGAAGACGUAUUAAACUGCGUAAAAGAUAUUUUGCAAUACGCUCCAGAAAAGGCCACAGGCGGAAGACGGUCUUCAACAUAAUAUUUUUUUAAUUGUUAAAAUGUAAAAAGCAAAUGAGUGGUUAACUUGUAAAUCUUGUUUUAUAUUUCAAUACCAUAGUUAUAUAUUUA